UGGUCCUAACCUUAAUAUCAGUUAUUACUUAAUUUACACAUGCAAGUAUCCGCACCCCUGUGAAAACGCCCUUAAAUCCCUACAAGGGAUAAGGAGCUGGUAUCAGGCACUUAUAAAGCCCAAAACACCUAGCUUAGCCACACCCACAAGGGACUUCAGCAGUGAUUAACAUUGAUUAUAAGCGUCAGCUUGACUCAGUUAUAGUAAGUAGAGCCGGCUAAUCUGGUGCCAGCCGCCGCGGUUACACCACGUGGCUCAAAUUGAUUUCUAUCGGCGUAAAGCGUGAUUAAAGUGCUUCUUAUUUGGAAUUAAAACUGAACUAAGCUGUGACACGCUUGUUACUGAGAAACCCAUAAACGAAAGAUAUUCCAACUCUAUCAACUUGAAUUCACGACAGCUAAGAUACAAACUGGGAUUAGAUACCCCACUAUGCUUAGCCGUAAACCUUAAAUUACAUCAAAUCAUCGCCCGGGAACUACGAGCAAAGCUUAAAACCCAAAGGACUUGACGGUACCCCAUAUCCACCUAGAGGAGCCUGUCCUAUAAUCGAUAAUCCCCGCUUAACCUCACCCCUUUUAGCCUAUCAGCCUGUAUACCUCCGUCGUCAGCUUACCACGUGAGCGCAACUUAGUGAGCUUAAUGCUUAUUCACCAAAACGUCAGGUCAAGGUGCAGCAUAUAAAGGGGGGAAGAGAUGGGCUACACUUUCUACUCUAGAAUACACGAAUGACUAUAUAUGAAACCCUAGUCUGAAGGCGGAUUUAGAAGUAAAAUAAAACUAUAGUGUUUAUUUUAACCUGGCACUGGGGUGUGUACACACCGCCCGUCACCCUCUUCAAAGCCCCAUACAAGUUCUUAACCAAUUUUAGCUACAUAGAAGAGGCAAGUCGUAACAUGGUAAGUAUACCGGAAGGUGUGCUUGGAAA
RNAcentral lists this non-coding RNA (925 nucleotides) under Pseudopaludicola ameghini. Its description in RNAcentral is "partial 12S ribosomal RNA". It matches the Rfam family "Bacterial small subunit ribosomal RNA". Lineage: Eukaryota; Metazoa; Chordata; Amphibia; Anura; Leptodactylidae. The record is from RNAcentral.